GCCCCAAACCUAAAGUUCUGCAUGUAGUUUCCUCAUAGAUUUCCUAGAGCUUUAGUAUGUUACAAAUUCUUAACACUUCAACCUAGAAGACAGAAUAUUUUUAUAAACAACAAAUACACCAGGCUGAGUCAGUAAACAAUUUACAGCUAUGUCUCAUGGGAUAUUUGCUAAUGUAUGUUUUCUAAAUAUGGGUAAUUUAGAGCUCAUAUAUGCCAUUAUCUGGUGAAACAAUUUGCAUUGAAUCUAAUGUAACCUAAUGUUUUUAAUGUACUUUUUUUCUAAAUUCCCAAGAGAUACGAUUACAGCAAACUGCACAGUGAAGAAAGCUUUCAUUUUUCCUGUGCAAUGGUUUGAUUUUUCACAUGUCAGCUGGAAUGAAAAUUAGAUUCACGGACAGCUCUACACCUGAUGACUCUGACAAGAAAACCCCAAUGAAGUCAUGGUGAGAUGUGAGCUAUGUAAUUACAGAUGACUAAUUAUAUGGAUGCCAUAUUGUAAAUAAAGCAUGACAAAUGGAGACAUCGACCCAGUGAAUAAACUUGCAUCCUUCAUACUUAAAGAUGUGGCUACUGUUGCUGAUUUACCAGAAGAAAUCAUAUUAAACUUUUCCCCGGAGACACAGAACUGCAAAACUUCAUUUUCACAGAAACCCCUGAGGUGUGUUUGAUGUGUGGGUGAUAAAUGCAUGGAACUGUUCAGAUUGGACAAAAGCCAUUAUGAAGAAAUGAAGAGAUACUGUGCAGCAGUCCCCCAGCUGGUUGCAGGUGUUGGGAAACAGCAAGAAUUACAUUUCUUGAGAGUGAGGAGCUCACUCUGGAUUGCAGUAGCUUAUCUUCUCAUUGUAAAAACAGAGGAGAAGCAGAUGAGACAUACCUGAAUAAAAUCAACUGUGAUCCAACAGAAAUAGAAGUGGCAGGUGCAGAGUGCGGUAACGAGGGAAAUGGCAGAGAAGUCCUUGUGUGAAGCUGAGUUUCUGAAAAGGACCAGCAGAAGAAUGAGAGCUUGAGUGACUUUAGAGUAUGAGCCGGCUGCAGAGAGCCGGAUCCAAGGCAGAAAGCUCUUGCAAAGGUCAGCAUGGGAGAAGAUGAGCUUUGAGUUCAAGUUGGGGAUGAAUUUGAGUUUUUUCCUUCUGAACCUAUGUAAUUUGGGGACCCAGUAUGGUUUAAUUGCAAAAAAAAUUCCUUGCAAUUAUUGACAUGACAGAGCUAGAUACUUGAAAUCAUAAAUAGUAGUAUGAACUUUAUGUGAACAAAGCUUAAUUGUCUUUUAAGAAAU
This 1275-nucleotide long non-coding RNA is filed under the name Oryctolagus cuniculus (rabbit). RNAcentral describes it as "lncRNA (ENSOCUG00000033995.1)". Lineage: Eukaryota; Metazoa; Chordata; Mammalia; Lagomorpha; Leporidae. The record is from RNAcentral.